Non-coding RNA from Triticum aestivum (bread wheat), 125 nucleotides. Lineage: Eukaryota; Viridiplantae; Streptophyta; Magnoliopsida; Poales; Poaceae. The record is from Rfam.
GAAAUACUCCCUCCGUCCAGAAAUACAUGUCGGAGAAAUGGGUAAAACUGGAUGUAUCUAGAACUAAAAUACGUCUAGAUACAUCCAUUUCUCCGACGAGUAUUUCCAGAUGGAGGGAGUAUUUA